This 221-nucleotide ribosomal RNA is filed under the name uncultured bacterium. Its description in RNAcentral is "partial 16S ribosomal RNA". It matches the Rfam family "Bacterial small subunit ribosomal RNA", at positions 15 to 228 of the family's 1533-position model. The record is from RNAcentral.
GAUCCUGGCUCAGGACGAACGCUGGCGGCGUGCCUAAUACAUGCAAGUAGAACGCUGAAGGAGGAGCUUGCUUCUCUGGAUGAGUUGCGAACGGUGAGUAACGCGUAGGUAACCUGCCUGGUAGCGGGGGAGUAACUAUUGGAACGAUAGCUAUACCGCAUAACAGUAGAUGUUGCAUGACAUUUGUCUUAAAAGGUAGCAAUUGCAUCACUACCAGAUGG